This 905-nucleotide ribosomal RNA is filed under the name Amanita vaginata. Its description in RNAcentral is "LSU rRNA". It matches the Rfam family "Eukaryotic large subunit ribosomal RNA", at positions 72 to 936 of the family's 3401-position model. Lineage: Eukaryota; Fungi; Basidiomycota; Agaricomycetes; Agaricales; Amanitaceae. The record is from RNAcentral.
GGAUUCCCCUAGUAACUGCGAGUGAAGCGGGAAAAGCUCAAAUUUGAAAUCUGGCAGUCUUUUUUUUCUUCUUUGGCUGUCCGAGUUGUAAUCUAGAGAAGUGCUUACCUGCGCUGGACCAUGUGUAAGUCUCCUGGAAUGGAGCGUCGCAGAGGGUGAGAAUCCCGUCUUUGACAUGGACUGCCAGCGUGUUGUGGUGUGCUCUCAAAGAGUCGAGUUGUUUGGGAAUGCAGCUCUAAAUGGGUGGUAAACUCCAUCUAAAGCUAAAUAUUGGCGAGAGACCGAUAGCGAACAAGUACCGUGAGGGAAAGAUGAAAAGGACUUUGGAAAGAGAGUUAAACAGUAUGUGAAAUUGUUGAAAGGGAAACGCUUGAAGUCAGUUAUGUCAGCUCUGGGGAUCAACCUAGCUCUGUUUUGCUGGGUGAUUUUCCUGGUCUGACGGGCCAACAUCAGUCUCGACUGCUGGAAAAGAGCGGGAGGGAAUGUGGCACCUUCGGGUGUGUUAUAGCCCCUCGUCAUAUGCAGCGGCCGGGACUGAGGGACGCAGCGUGCCGUGAAGGCUGGGUUUCGACCACGUUCACGCUUAGGAUGUUGGCUUUUCAAUGGCUUCAAUCGACCCGUCUUGAAACACGGACCAAGGAGUCUAACAUGCCUGCGAGUGUUUGGGUGGGGAAAACCCUUGUGCACAAUGAAAGUGAAAGUCGAGAUCCCUGUCAUGGGGAGCAUCGACGCCCGGACCUGAGCUUUCAGCGACGGAUCCGCGGUGGAGCAUGCAUGUUGGGACCCGAAAGAUGGUGAACUAUGCCUGAAUAGGGCAAAGCCAGAGGAAACUCUGGUGGAGGCUCGUAGCGAUUCUGACGUGCAAAUCGAUCGUCAAAUUUGGGUAUAGGGGCGAAAGACUAAUC